Molecule: ribosomal RNA, 1576 nt
Filed under: Salmonella enterica subsp. enterica serovar Bovismorbificans
Lineage: Bacteria; Pseudomonadati; Pseudomonadota; Gammaproteobacteria; Enterobacterales; Enterobacteriaceae
Description: bacterial LSU rRNA
Rfam family: Bacterial large subunit ribosomal RNA
Source: RNAcentral
AAGGUGGCCUGUGAGGGUUGCUGGAGGUAUCAGAAGUGCGAAUGCUGACAUAAGUAACGAUAAAGCGGGUGAAAAGCCCGCUCGCCGGAAGACCAAGGGUUCCUGUCCAACGUUAAUCGGGGCAGGGUGAGUCGACCCCUAAGGCGAGGCCGAAAGGCGUAGUCGAUGGGAAACGGGUUAAUAUUCCCGUACUUGGUGUUACUGCGAAGGGGGGACGGAGAAGGCUAUGUUGGCCGGGCGACGGUUGUCCCGGUUUAAGCGUGUAGGUGUGUGUUCCAGGUAAAUCCGGUUCACUUUAACACUGAGGCGUGACGACGAGGCACUACGGUGCUGAAGCAACAAAUGCCCUGCUUCCAGGAAAAGCCUCUAAGCAUCAGGUAACACGAAAUCGUACCCCAAACCGACACAGGUGGUCAGGUAGAGAAUACCAAGGCGCUUGAGAGAACUCGGGUGAAGGAACUAGGCAAAAUGGUGCCGUAACUUCGGGAGAAGGCACGCUGACACGUAGGUGAAGUGAUUUACUCAUGGAGCUGAAGUCAGUCGAAGAUACCAGCUGGCUGCAACUGUUUAUUAAAAACACAGCACUGUGCAAACACGAAAGUGGACGUAUACGGUGUGACGCCUGCCCGGUGCCGGAAGGUUAAUUGAUGGGGUCAGCGCAAGCGAAGCUCCUGAUCGAAGCCCCGGUAAACGGCGGCCGUAACUAUAACGGUCCUAAGGUAGCGAAAUUCCUUGUCGGGUAAGUUCCGACCUGCACGAAUGGCGUAAUGAUGGCCAGGCUGUCUCCACCCGAGACUCAGUGAAAUUGAACUCGCUGUGAAGAUGCAGUGUACCCGCGGCAAGACGGAAAGACCCCGUGAACCUUUACUAUAGCUUGACACUGAACAUUGAGCCUUGAUGUGUAGGAUAGGUGGGAGGCUUUGAAGUGUGGACGCCAGUCUGCAUGGAGCCGGCCUUGAAAUACCACCCUUUAAUGUUUGAUGUUCUAACGUGGACCCGUUACCCGGGUUGCGGACAGUGUCUGGUGGGUAGUUUGACUGGGGCGGUCUCCUCCUAAAGAGUAACGGAGGAGCACGAAGGUUGGCUAAUCCUGGUCGGACAUCAGGAGGUUAGUGCAAUGGCAUAAGCCAGCUUGACUGCGAGCGUGACGGCGCGAGCAGGUGCGAAAGCAGGUCAUAGUGAUCCGGUGGUUCUGAAUGGAAGGGCCAUCGCUCAACGGAUAAAAGGUACUCCGGGGAUAACAGGCUGAUACCGCCCAAGAGUUCAUAUCGACGGCGGUGUUUGGCACCUCGAUGUCGGCUCAUCACAUCCUGGGGCUGAAGUAGGUCCCAAGGGUAUGGCUGUUCGCCAUUUAAAGUGGUACGCGAGCUGGGUUUAGAACGUCGUGAGACAGUUCGGUCCCUAUCUGCCGUGGGCGCUGGAGAACUGAGGGGGGCUGCUCCUAGUACGAGAGGACCGGAGUGGACGCAUCACUGGUGUUCGGGUUGUCAUGCCAAUGGCACUGCCCGGUAGCUAAAUGCGGAAGAGAUAAGUGCUGAAAGCAUCUAAGCACGAAACUUGCCCCGAGAUGAGUUCU